RNAcentral lists this transfer RNA (69 nucleotides) under Cocculina enigmadonta. RNAcentral's name for it is "tRNA-Glu". Lineage: Eukaryota; Metazoa; Mollusca; Gastropoda; Cocculinidae. The record is from RNAcentral.
GUUUUUGUGGUGUAUAUAAAGCACACUAAGAUUUUCAUUCUAGAGGAGUAAAAUUAUUUACCAAAAAUA